RNAcentral lists this microRNA precursor (157 nucleotides) under Oryza brachyantha (malo sina). Its description in RNAcentral is "MIR812 microRNA precursor family". It matches the Rfam family "MIR812 microRNA precursor family", at positions 27 to 187 of the family's 205-position model. Lineage: Eukaryota; Viridiplantae; Streptophyta; Magnoliopsida; Poales; Poaceae. The record is from Rfam by way of RNAcentral.
UACAAUGUUUUGAUUCUUCGUCUUAUUUAAAAAAUUUUUGUGUUUAAUAUUUUUAUUCUUACUAGAUAAUAAAACAUAAAUAAUGCGUGACUAAUUUUUAUAAGUUUUUUAACAAAAUUUUUAAAUAAGACGAAUGAUCAAAUAUUAGAUACGGAAA